GACGAACGCUGGCGGCGUGCUUAACACAUGCAAGUCGAACGGAAAGGCCCUGCUUUUGUGGGGUGCUCGAGUGGCGAACGGGUGAGUAACACGUGAGUAACCUGCCCUUGACUUUGGGAUAACUUCAGGAAACUGGGGCUAAUACCGGAUAGGAGCUCCUGCUGCAUGGUGGGGGUUGGAAAGUUUCGGCGGUUGGGGAUGGACUCGCGGCUUAUCAGCUUGUUGGUGGGGUAGUGGCUUACCAAGGCUUUGACGGGUAGCCGGCCUGAGAGGGUGACCGGCCAAAUGGGGAAGGGGAUACGGCCAAGACGCGUACGGGGGGGAGGAGGGGGGAAUUUGGCACAAGGGGCGGAAGCAUGAUGCAGAAACGCCGGGGGGGGGAUGACGGCCUUCGGGUGGUAAACCGCUUUCGCCGGGGAAGAAGGGUGAGUGGCGGUAAGGGGGAAAGAAGCACCGGCAAACUACGU
Molecule: ribosomal RNA, 467 nt
Filed under: uncultured bacterium
Lineage: Bacteria
Description: partial 16S ribosomal RNA
Rfam family: Bacterial small subunit ribosomal RNA
Source: RNAcentral